GAAACGGUAGCUCAAUCGGCAGAGCACCCGGCUUUUAACCGGGGGGUUGUGGGAUCGUGGCCCACCCGUUUCA
This 73-nucleotide transfer RNA is filed under the name Algisphaera agarilytica. It matches the Rfam family "tRNA". Rfam says of the family: Transfer RNA (tRNA) molecules are approximately 80 nucleotides in length. Their secondary structure includes four short double-helical elements and three loops (D, anti-codon, and T loops). Lineage: Bacteria; Pseudomonadati; Planctomycetota; Phycisphaerae; Phycisphaerales; Phycisphaeraceae. The record is from Rfam by way of RNAcentral.